This 309-nucleotide unclassified non-coding RNA is filed under the name plant metagenome. Its description in RNAcentral is "partial contains 5.8S ribosomal RNA, internal transcribed spacer 2, and large subunit ribosomal RNA". The stretch from base 1 to 105 matches the Rfam family "5.8S ribosomal RNA", at positions 50 to 154 of the family's 154-position model. The record is from RNAcentral.
GUAAUGCGAUAAGUAGUGUGAAUUGCAGAAUUCAGUGAAUCAUCGAAUCUUUGAACGCACAUUGCGCCCCUUGGUAUUCCAUGGGGCAUGCCUGUUCGAGCGUCAUUUGUACCCUCAAGCUCUGCUUGGUGUUGGGUGUUUGUCCCGUCUCCGCGCGUGGACUCGCCCCAAAGUGAUUGGCAGCCGGCGUACUGGUCCCGGAGCGCAGCACAUGUCGCGCAAACGAGUGCCUUGGUACGGCGGCGUCCAUAAGCCCCUCUCUCACGCUCUUGACCUCGGAUCAGGUAGGGAUACCCGCUGAACUUAAGC